GGACCGAGAAGUUACCCGAGUUCGUUAGAUUUAAAGAUACACCCUAUCUUUUAUCACUCCAGCGUUGGUACCACUGUACCUAUACUAGGAUACCCUCGGCGGAAUGGCAAGCUGGUUACCAAAUGCUGAGAGACAUCCCUCUCUCCGGCUGUCAGCACGGCUUGACUAAACGUCGGCACCUGCGCUUCUCCACUUUUCUACCCAGUGGUAGUGCUAUGUACCAUGGUCCUUCGUUAUUACACAUAGGACUCUGGCACGCACAUCGCAGCAAC
This 272-nucleotide small RNA is filed under the name synthetic construct. The record is from RNAcentral.